AAACUUAUUAACUGAGUAAUGUCUCCUCCAAACGACGAAUUCCAACCGAAAGUUAUACACAUCGACCACCGGUAUCGUACCUUCUGUCCCGCCAAUUUAAUUGAGGAAUUUGCUAAUUAUUGAAGAGAAUACUCCAAUGUAAUUAGUGGUAAGGAAAAUUUUUCAUUUGAUUAUACCCUUUAUUAGUUUAAUUGUAUUAGCAAAGUGAUUUUUUAUACAUGGUUUGCUUACAAUAAUGUGUAGUGUUGUAAUUUUGGUCAUUAAUUUAAAACUAAGUUGUGUAGUGC
Molecule: long non-coding RNA, 287 nt
Organism: Chenopodium quinoa (quinoa)
Lineage: Eukaryota; Viridiplantae; Streptophyta; Magnoliopsida; Caryophyllales; Amaranthaceae
Exons: 2
Source: RefSeq, a predicted model, not a curated record